UGAUGCAGCCAUGCCGCGUGUAUGAAGAAGGCCUUCGGGUUGUAAAGUACUUUCAGCAGUGAGGAAGGCAGGUACGUUAAUAGCGUGCUUGUUUGACGUUAGCUGCAGAAGAAGCACCGGCUAACUCCGUGCCAGCAGCCGCGGUAAUACGGAGGGUGCGAGCGUUAAUCGGAAUUACUGGGCGUAAAGCGCAUGCAGGUGGUUUGUUAAGUCAGAUGUGAAAGCCCGGGGCUCAACCUCGGAAUUGCAUUUGAAACUGGCAGACUAGAGUACUGUAGAGGGGGUAGAAUUUCAGGUGUAGCGGUGAAAAUGCGUAGAGAUCUGAAGGAAUACCGGUGGCGAAGGCGGCCCCCUGGACAGAUACUGACACUCAGAUGCGAAAGCGUGGGGAGCAAACAGGAUUAGAUACCCUGGUAG
RNAcentral lists this ribosomal RNA (417 nucleotides) under uncultured bacterium. RNAcentral describes it as "bacterial SSU rRNA". It matches the Rfam family "Bacterial small subunit ribosomal RNA", at positions 384 to 793 of the family's 1533-position model. The record is from RNAcentral.